GACGUAGGGGGCGAGCGUUGUCCGGAUUUAUUGGGCGUAAAGCGCGCGUAGGCGGCUCGGAUAGUCGGAUGUGAAAACCCAGGGCUCAACCCUGGGCCUGCACCCGAUACUGCCGGGCUAGAGGCAGGUAGGGGAGAGUGGAAUUCCCGGUGUAGCGGUGAAAUGCGCAGAUAUCGGGAGGAACACCAGUGGCGAAGGCGGCUCUCUGGGCCAGUACUGACGCUCAGGCACGCAAGCUAGGGGAGCAAACAGG
Molecule: ribosomal RNA, 253 nt
Filed under: uncultured bacterium
Lineage: Bacteria
Description: partial 16S ribosomal RNA
Rfam family: Bacterial small subunit ribosomal RNA
Source: RNAcentral